CAUUAAGAAGCUAUGUAACAGCACUAGCCUUUUAAGCUAGCGACAGAGGACCCACUACCCUCCUUAAUGA
This 70-nucleotide transfer RNA is filed under the name Egretta eulophotes (Chinese egret). RNAcentral's name for it is "tRNA-Lys". The record is from RNAcentral. Lineage: Eukaryota; Metazoa; Chordata; Aves; Pelecaniformes; Ardeidae. RNAcentral also lists the same sequence under 1 other name.